Molecule: ribosomal RNA, 468 nt
Filed under: uncultured soil bacterium
Lineage: Bacteria
Description: bacterial SSU rRNA
Rfam family: Bacterial small subunit ribosomal RNA
Source: RNAcentral
AGGACGAACGCUGGCGGCGUGCUUAACACAUGCAAGUCGGGCGGAAAGGCCAUUUCGGUGGUACUCGAGCGGCGAACGGGUGAGUAACACGUGAGUAAUCUGCCCCUGGCUUUGGGAUAGCCACCGGAAACGGUGAUUAAUACCGGAUACGACCCGCCCUCGCAUGGGGGUGUGUGGAAAGUUUUUCGGCCAGGGAUGUGCUCGCGGCCUAUCAGCUUGAUGGUGGGGUAAUGGCUCACCAUGGCUUCGACGGGUAGCCGGCCUGAGAGGGUGACCGGUCACACUGGGACUGAGACACGGCCCAGACUCCGUACGGGAGCAGCAGGUGGGGAAUAGUGGACAAGUGGGCGGAGGCCCGAUCCGAGCAACGCCGCGUGAGGAUGACGGUCCGUUGGUUGUAACCUCUUCAGUACCGACGAAGCGGAAGUGACGGUAGGACAAGAAGAGCACCGACAACACGUGCCAGCA